RNAcentral lists this ribosomal RNA (800 nucleotides) under Psychrobacter maritimus. Its description in RNAcentral is "bacterial SSU rRNA". It matches the Rfam family "Bacterial small subunit ribosomal RNA", at positions 97 to 895 of the family's 1533-position model. The record is from RNAcentral. Lineage: Bacteria; Pseudomonadati; Pseudomonadota; Gammaproteobacteria; Moraxellales; Moraxellaceae.
GGCGGACGGGUGAGUAAUACUUAGGAAUCUACCUAGUAGUGGGGGAUAGCUCGGGGAAACUCGAAUUAAUACCGCAUACGACCUACGGGAGAAAGGGGGCAACUUGUUGCUCUCGCUAUUAGAUGAGCCUAAGUCGGAUUAGCUAGAUGGUGGGGUAAAGGCCUACCAUGGCGACGAUCUGUAGCUGGUCUGAGAGGAUGAUCAGCCACACCGGGACUGAGACACGGCCCGGACUCCUACGGGAGGCAGCAGUGGGGAAUAUUGGACAAUGGGGGCAACCCUGAUCCAGCCAUGCCGCGUGUGUGAAGAAGGCCUUUUGGUUGUAAAGCACUUUAAGCAGUGAAGAAGACUCCGUGGUUAAUACCCACGGACGAUGACAUUAGCUGCAGAAUAAGCACCGGCUAACUCUGUGCCAGCAGCCGCGGUAAUACAGAGGGUGCAAGCGUUAAUCGGAAUUACUGGGCGUAAAGCGAGCGUAGGUGGCUUGAUAAGUCAGAUGUGAAAUCCCCGGGCUUAACCUGGGAACUGCAUCUGAUACUGUUAGGCUAGAAUAGGUGAGAGGAAGGUAGAAUUCCAGGUGUAGCGGUGAAAUGCGUAGAGAUCUGGAGGAAUACCGAUGGCGAAAGGCAGCCUUCUGGCAUCAUAUUGACACUGAGGUUCGAAAGCGUGGGUAGCAAACAGGAUUAGAUACCCUGGUAGUCCACGCCGUAAACGAUGUCUACUACCGUUGGGUCCCUUGAGGACUUAGUGACGCAGCUAACGCAAUAAGUAGACCGCCUGGGGAGUACGGCCGCAUGGCU